UUCGGGAGCGAGUAAAGCGGCGCACGGGUGAGUAACACGUAGGUAACCUGCCCCCCAGUCUGGAACAACUAGAGGAAACUCUAGCUAAUGCCGGAUGAGACCACGAUCCCGUUCGGGGGUUGCGGCCAAGAUGGCCUCUACUUGUAAGCUAUCGCUGAGGGAUGGGCCUGCGGCCAUUAGCUUGUUGGUGAGGUAACGGCUCACCAAGGCUGUGAUGGCUAGCUGGUCUGAGAGGAUGACCAGCCACACUGGGACUGAGACACGGCCCAGACUCCUACGGGAGGCAGCAGUGGGAAUAUUGCGCAAUGGGCGAAAGCCUGACGCAGCGACGCCGCGUGGGUGAUGAAGGCCUUCGGGUCGUAAAGCCCUGUCGCAGGGGAAGAAUAAGCAUCGGUAUAAUACGCCGGUGCCCUGACGGUACCCUGCAAGAAAGCACCGGCUAACUCCGUG
Molecule: ribosomal RNA, 450 nt
Filed under: uncultured bacterium
Lineage: Bacteria
Description: bacterial SSU rRNA
Rfam family: Bacterial small subunit ribosomal RNA
Source: RNAcentral